UUAUCGUAGUAUCAAACACUAAGUUGGCGGGAAUUUACUCUUUCACAGGCCAACAAUGCCGCAUUUACAUGUGAGUCUUCUGUGCCUGUCAGUUACGAUUGCAUCUGUCAUUUGCCAAGAAUAUGAUUACAUUUUAGUCAUGAACAGCGUGCCAGAACAUAACUAUGAUCAUAAAAAGACGAGAAAUGCCUAUCCAGAACGUACUUAUGGUGACAAAACAUUGAAAAACCUUGAUAAAAAUAUAAAAACAAUGAAGAGCAUCGAAACACAUAAUUAUGAUCAUAUAAAAACUUUGAGUGACGUUUUAGAUGUUUCUUCUGGCGGCAGGACGCUAAAAAGCGUUGAAAGACACAAUUAUAAAAAAACUCUAAGUGGCGUUCCAAAAGUUACUUAUGGUGACACAACACUGAAAAGUAUUGACGAAGACAACUAUGAUUAUAUAAAAACCUUGAGUGGCGUUCCAAGCCGUUCAUUUAGGGAUAUGACACUGAGAGGCAUUGACCAACACGAUGAUGAUCAUAUAAAAACUUUAAGUGACGUUCUAGAACUUGUUUCUGGCGACAAAGCAGUGAAGAGCAUUGACAAACACAGCUAUGAUCAAAUAAAAACCUUGAGUGAUUUUCUACAACGCAUAAAUAAUGAGAAAGCAUCGAAGAAUAUUGACAACCAUAAUUAUAAUCAUAAAACAACUUUAAGUGACGUUCUUGAAAAUACAAAUGGCCAAAAAUUACUCAAUCGGAUUGAAGAACACAACUAUGAUCAUAUAAAAACUCUAAGUGGCGUUCCAAAAGUAACUUAUGGUGACAAAACACUGAAUGGUAUUGAAAAACACAAAUAUGAUCAAAUAAAAACCUUGCGUGAUUUUCUAGAACGUACUAACGAAGACAAAGUACCGAAGAACAUUGACAAACAUAAUUAUUAUCCUAUAAAUACUUUGAGUGACGUUAUUGAAAGUACAUAUGGCGACCAAUUACUUGAUCGAAUUGAUGACAACUAUGAUCGUAUAAAAACCUUGAGUGAUUUUGUAAAACGUACUAAUGAUGACAGUUUUAAUUAUGAAAAUAUUAAAACUUUGAUUGACAUUCUUAAAAAUAUAUGUGACGGCCAAUUACUCGAUCGUAUUGAAGAACACAAUUAUGAUCAUAUAAAAACCUUAAGUGAUUUUCUAGAACGUACUAAUGACGACAAAGCACCGAAAAGCAUUGAUGACUUUAAUUGCGAUAAUAUAAAAACAUUGAUUGAUAUUCUUCAAAAUAUAUAUGACGGCAAUUUACUCAAUCGCACCGAAGAACACAACUAUGAUCAUGAAAAAACUCGGAGUACCGUUCCAAAAGUUAUUUUUGGUGACAAAACACUGAAGACUAUUGAUAAACACAAAUAUGAUCAAAUAAAUACCUUGAGCGAUUUUCUAGGACGCACCAAUGACGAGAAAGCGUCGAAGAAUAUUGACAAACAUAAUUUUAAUCAUAAAAUAACUUUAAGCGACGUUCUUGAAAAUACACAUGGCCACAAAUUUCUCAAUCGCAUUGCCGAACACAACUAUGAUCAUAUAGAAACUCUUAGUGGCGUUCCAAAAGUAACUUAUGGUGACAAAACACUGAAUGGUAUUGACAAACACAAAUAUGAUCAAAUAAAAACCUUGAGUGAGUUUCUACAACGCACCAAUAACGAGAAAGCAUCGAAGAAUAUUGACAAACAUAAUUUUAAUCAUAAAAUAACUUUAAGCGACGUUCUUGAAAAUACACAUGGCCACAAAUUCCCCAAUCCCAUUGACGAACACAACUAUGCUCAUAUAGAAACUCUUAGUGGCAUUCCAAAAGUAACUUAUGGUGACAAAACACUGAAUGGUAUUGACAAACACAAAUAUGAUCAAAUCAAAACCUUGAAUGAGUUUCUACAACGCACCAAUAACGAGAAAGCAUCGAAGAAUAUUGACAAACAUAAUUUUAAUCAUAAAAUAACUUUAAGCGACGUUCUUGAAAAUACACAUGGCCACAAAUUCCCCAAUCCCAUUGACGAACACAACUAUGCUCAUAUAGAAACUCUUAGUGGCAUUCCAAAAGUAACUUAUGGUGACAAAACACUGAAUGGUAUUGACAAACACAAAUAUGAUCAAAUCAAAACCUUGAAUGAGUUUCUACAACGCACCAAUGACGAGAAAGCAUCGAAGAAUUUAGACAAACAUAAUUAUAAUCAUGUAAAAAGUUUGAGCGACGUUCUUGAAAGUACAUCUGAAGACACACACGAACACAACUAUGAUCAUAUAAAAACUCUUAGUGGCGUUCCAAAAGUAACAUAUAGUGACAAAACACUGAGUGGUAUUGACAAACAUAAAUAUGAUCAAAUAAAAACCUUGAGUGAUUUUAUAGAACGUACUUACGAAGACAAAGUACUUAAGAACAUUGACAAACAUAAUUAUUAUCCUAUAAAUACUUUGAGUGACGUUAUUGAAACUACAUAUGGCGACAAAUUACUUGAUCGAAUUGAUGACAACUAUGAUCGUAUAAAAACCUUGAGUGAUUUUGUAAAAGGUACUAAUGAUGACAGUUUUAAUUAUGAAAAUAUUAAAACUUUGAUUGACAUUCUUAAAAAUAUAUGUGACGGCCAAUUACUCGAUCGUAUUGAAGAACACAAUUAUGAUGAUAUAAAAACCUUAAGUGAUUUUCUAGAACGUACUAAUGUCGACAAAGCACCGAAAAGCAUUGAUGACUUUAAUUGCGAUAAUAUAAAAACUUUGAUUGAUAUUCUUCAAAAUAUAUAUGACGGCAAAUUACUCAAUCGCACCGAAGAACACAACUAUGAUCAUAAAAAAACUCGGAGUACCGUUCCAAAAGUUAUUUUUGGUGACAAAACACUGAAUGGUAUUGACAAACACAAAUAUAAUCAAAUCAAAACCUUGAGUGAGUUUCUACAACGCACCAAUGACGAGAAAGCAUCGAAUAAUAUUGACAAACAUAAUUAUAAUCAUAUAAAAACUUUGAGCGACGUUCUUAAAAGUACAUCUGAAGACAAAUUACACAAUCGCAUUGACGAAGACAACUAUAACCAUAUAAAAACCUUAAGUGAUUUUCUAGAAGGUACUAAUGACGACAAAGCACCGAAGAACAUUAAGAACUACAAUUAUUAUCAAAAAAAAACAUUGAGUGACAUUUUAGAGCAUACUAAUGGCGAUAAAUUACUCAAUCGCAUUGACGAAGACAACUAUGAUCAUAUAAAUACCUUGAAUCAUUUGCUAGAGCGUACUUAUGACGACAAAACACC
Cydia splendana is the source of this 3261-nucleotide long non-coding RNA. RefSeq lists it as uncharacterized. The record is from RefSeq and is a predicted model, not a curated record. Lineage: Eukaryota; Metazoa; Arthropoda; Insecta; Lepidoptera; Tortricidae. The transcript is spliced from 2 exons.